AUGAUAUUGGCUUAUAGAGUCUUAUUGUUGCUACGAUCGUCGUGCAACAUCAACCACCUCAUCCAUCAGGGAAAUAAUGGACGGGAGGGAUAGAGGAUUCCUGGAAGACGAUACUGGUAGCGAAGAAGAGCCAGACGGGCAACUUCUGUUGGAGAUCAUUCGGAAAGAAGAAGACCGAGACUUGCGCCAAUUGGUCAGUGUGUGAAGCCCUUAAUUACCAAAAGUCUAUACGUCACGUUCUACAUAGCCUACCUCGUAUUUCUGAUGCAUCUAUUAGGUGAAACGUUUCCGCGAUCAAUGCCACCAUCAUUUGAUGGAUACUUCCAAUAAGGUCGACGUGGGCUGGAGUGAGCAACAAGAUCGCUACGUUAUCGAUUACCUGAACGACCCAAAUAAAGUGGUGCUCUUUGUCAGCUCGUCGCAGCAGGAGAACGUCGUCGAUAGAUUACGUUUUGAUUGGGCAGUGGUCGGUUCGAUCCACGGAUCGAAUAAUCCGACGUCUUUCUUCAUCAAAAUCGAGGCUGUCGAACCACUGAUUCGACCUGGUCAAUUCGACACGGCUGUCUACAACAAUUGUUUGGUUCGUGGAGUCAAGGAUUUGCCUCGACACUUGACCAAAGUAGUCUUCUAUUUCGAGAGACACGCGCUCAACCUGUGCGAAAAUCGACUUAAAGAAAUGAAGCAUUUGAUGGAAGGCACUCUGUUGAAAUUGCGACAAUUUCUAAUCGAAAGUCGAUGCUUAAGCGACAGUCUUCUCCUCAAGCCAACACUUAUUGUUCAACCUCCCAAACAAGACGACGAGGAUCAAAUCGAACAGCUGGAAAGGUUGGCGCAUCAGUGGAUUUACGUGGUUACGUACUCGUUGGAACUCAGGGAUUACUACUCGACAUGUGGCGCUGAAAAUAACCAUCCCACCAUUCAAGGCGAAAUCAAUAGCCUGCUUUUUAAAUAUGAAGUUUUAAAGAAACUCGGCACCAAGUUGAUGAAAGCGGACUACCAGCGCGUCUUGUCCAUCCUCAAAGAAGCGAAUUCGGUAGUCGGAGACGAGCUGGAAAACCUUCUCGAUCAACUACAGGAAGCAUCGAAACAGACGAAAUUGGCAGCCAGGUAUUUGACUUUCUUACGUCGAUCAGUCGAUGAAAUUGAAAAAGUCAAGAUCUUUCCUGAAACAAUCAGAGGGCAACAUAUAGCUCCACUGGUCGAUUUACCGGCUAUUUAUCAAGACGCGUGCAAUCGGAUCAUCGUUAUUGUGCGUCACGUAGACCUACCCAACUAUGAGAACAGGGAAAGCGAUGCGGCUGCUAGGCUUCUCUUCACCAUCGGUAACGAGGUAGUGACGAAAAUCAGCCAACACGCGUUGGCGGUCGCCAUCGAUCAGCUUUUCCUCAAAGGACGACCAAGGGAAUGUGUCGAAGACUUGGAGAAGUUUUGUCGUCGAGCUGUUCAGCGAUGCGUCGCUACUUACUUUCAAACCAUGAAGUGGCAGACAAUGGAGCUAAACGACCAAAUAGUUUUGGCCAACUUCCACGCGUUGGAUUUACGUUUAGGACACGUAAUUGAUAUUUGCGAAUCCCUGGAACAAUUAGGAAGGUACGGUGAGGGUAUCAAACCGGUGACAUUUUGCAAUGAGAGAGAACGUGAUGUUGGCCUUAGUCUAACGAUGGCACAGGAUAAUUUCGUUGAAUUGGCUAUUAAUCUUGUCAGCCAUCAUCGCACCAACAUAUUUGACAUCCUGAAUUCGGAAGAAUGGUACAAGGCCUAUAAUAGUUACCAAAAUGAGACAAGGGCUUUAGAGAUCCAUCUGGUUCACGACUUUGAAGACGCAGUACAUCGGUGCAGUACGCUCUGGAAUAUCUACGAAGUGUUGAUGUCGUUUAAACAUUUGUACCGCCGCCCACUCUUCACAGCCGUUAUCAACUCGACGGCAAAUCAGCUCUUUAAAAAGGCUUCUCGAGAGGCUAAAGUGGCUUGCGGCAUCAGUUGCAACGACCCCUGGAGCACUCCAAUCAAUGCCACGUUAACUACUCUUUCGACCCGGUUGGCAACGUCCGCCCAACGAGCUCGGGGUUACCUUGAUAAGAUCGCUAAAUUGGUCCAAAUGACAAGCUGGGCAGGUAGUCCCAGUUAUCGAGAAAAGGCUCUAUUACGCUGUCAGCAAGCUCACCGGCUUCUCGGUGAGGCUAUUAAGAAAGAACACGUGGAUUGGAUCGAUAGAGUUCACGUAGAAUUGGCGUUCAACAUGAAUGUAGGUCUCCAUAAAUUCGCCGUGCGACGUCAUUUCAAACGUCCUGACUGGAUUCAGUGUAACCUUGAUGGAGUUGUCUUUCAAGUUGUCCAAGCGGCCGAAAGCUGGGAUCGACUUCUCGUCGAACUUCCUGGUCAAGUUACAGCGUUGUGGAAUGAGCGGAAUGAGCUUCGGAACGUACACGGAUCCGUCUGCGCUAUGUGUUAUUAUUAUAAUUACAUUAUUCAAGAACUGGAAGUGCUAGACAAAGAUAUAUACCGUGAAGAAUUGGAUAAGCUCGAAAAAGCAGUCCAGCCCUGCUUAAACAGCACUACCUGGAAACAAUUGAUCUUAGUGAAAAGGGUGGUAACAUCGUGUUUCUUCGCCAUGGAGGAAGUUGUUCAAGACCUAGUGCAACGUUUUGCAGUACCAUAACGUUUUUUUUGUUGACAAAUGCUCUAUUCUGUGAGGGGUUUUCAAAUCUCUUUAUUAAGGAAUGAAAACAUGAAAAAAUAAUUACUUUCCAACAGAGACUACAUUUUAGACAGCAGUCUAUACGGAAUCUAGUCUAUAUUUCUGCCCAGCUGAAGCUGCGUCAUUGCGAUUCAGAUGGAACAAAAGCCGCUCUUCGAGACGCUCAACGGCUGCAAGAGUCAAGACUAACGUGUGGUGUUUCAGCAUACUGUACACGUUUAGACCUUUUAGAAAAUACCAAAUAGACGUUAGUUAAUAAAUAAACGCGAUGAUUGAUUA
Molecule: small RNA, 2977 nt
Filed under: Daphnia magna
Lineage: Eukaryota; Metazoa; Arthropoda; Branchiopoda; Diplostraca; Daphniidae
Description: uncharacterized LOC116921160
Source: RNAcentral